Molecule: long non-coding RNA, 1200 nt
Organism: Megalobrama amblycephala (Wuchang bream)
Lineage: Eukaryota; Metazoa; Chordata; Actinopteri; Cypriniformes; Xenocyprididae
Exons: 5
Source: RefSeq, a predicted model, not a curated record
CUGGGACAGGUGCCAGUUGCUCACAAAAGGCAACCGAAAAUCGGUGAUCUGCACGUUGUUGGGAGUGUAAGGAAAACGCCAUGCAACUAUCACAGAAAAAAAAGUGAAGGAUGGUCGCGAGGGGAGGGGAAGAUGUAGAAAAAGAGGUUCGUGAAGGAGGAGGUGGGGGGGCGUUCAACACUCCUCGGGCCUCCGAGAGCUGAUCGCAUGUGCCGUGGAAACCACGGGACCAUUUGCAUAUGGCAGACACGCUAAUUGUGUGUUUGCUAACACGCACCAUUCAGCGAGACGCGCUCCGGUCCACAGACGGGGUUCACACACGCCUCCCAGACGCCCCGGAGGCCUCCUAUUGUUCCAGAGGCCCAGCCGAGCAGCCGGCGAGCCUAACCAGAUCCCUGCGCUGAGAGGGUGGACUGGAAUUCGAGACCGGGAUAGCGGAACGGGAAGGCUCUCUUUUUCUCUCUGCAGCAAGACAUCUGAAGAAAAAGAGGCCUGCGGAAAGCACUGCCUCCGGACGCUGACGUCCUCGCAGAUGUGUUUUGAAAUGGACUAACGGAGAUGCAGCGCUGCACAGGACCUGACGGACAGACAUGGUCACCAUGAACCGUCAUCGUAUGGAAAGAGCAGUGAGAAGAUUCUAGAAGAUUCACCUUCUGCGUUUCACGGACGAGUCUGAACAACACGAGGGCGAUGAAGUUGAAUGGCACACCUGCACCGGAUUCGAAUGCAGUGGAAGCGUCUGAUUAUAUGUUACGUCGCACUGAUGCAGAAAGACAGACGUGUAGAUGAAGACGGAAGGAGAGACGAACAGUGAUCAGACUGAGAUGAGUUUGAAAUGCUUCCUGAGCCCUUCGUGAAAGGUGCCAGUUCAAAUCCACACAAUCACCUUCUUUCACUAAUGCAUUUGUCUUUUAGUCUGUUUUUACCCUUAAAUUGAUUGCCUUUUCAAAUCUAAGUUCAUUUCCACUCUCCAUGUUUUAAUUUUUUGUCAUCAAACAAGACUUUAGACCCACUACAGGUGCUGCGGCCCCGCUGAAGACUCCGGCUCUUUCUUCAUGUUGGAUGCAGCAGUGUUUUUGUUAAUGUUUUGAAUUAAAUUUUCAUUUUAAUUUUGGUUAACGUUUUAGAAAUUUUAUUGUGUGGUUUAUUUGUAUUUUUUUUUUUUUUUUUUUUUUUUUUAUGUCUAUAUAGUUUUCAUUC